RNAcentral lists this ribosomal RNA (273 nucleotides) under uncultured bacterium. RNAcentral's name for it is "partial small subunit ribosomal RNA". It matches the Rfam family "Bacterial small subunit ribosomal RNA", at positions 26 to 285 of the family's 1533-position model. The record is from RNAcentral.
AGAAUCAACGCUGGCGGCGUGCCUAACACAUGCAAGUCGAACGCGAAAGUCCCGCAAGGGAUAAGUAGAGUGGCAAACGGGUGAGUAACACGUGGGUGACCUGCCUUCGAGUGGGGGAGUAACGUCCCGAAAGGGACGCUAAUACCGCAUGACAUCCUGCUUUUUAAGAGGUGGAGAUCAAAGCUGGGGAUCGCAAGACCUAGCGCUUGAAGAGGGGCCCGCGCCUGAUUAGCUAGUUGGUGGGGUAAUGGCUCACCAAGGCAACGAUCAGUA